GCCAGUGUCAGACGGCCGAGAGCUUGCGUGUGGCAUUAAGCGCUCACACACACAGGUAACGCAUAAGUGGCUCGCGUUACCUGUCGAAAGUUCCCACCGGUUCGUGGUACCCGCACGCCUUAUUACGAGAGCCUCGCUGCCGCAUAGGUGGGCAUUCAGGCUCGCCGUCCACCUACAGAAACAGAAAAAAUUUGCUGCUGAGACAAAAUCUACGGUGGAUGAGAAGGAAACUCGAAACGGAAAUAUAAGAAUGCAGAUAUCAAAACGCCGAAAUAACGAAAGUUGAGGACGGAAACGCCGGCGACGAAAAGGCGCAUCGCUUGACGAAAUUUAAGUCGAUGGAGAAGAAGGAAUCCGACGAAUUCGCAACGCGAAUGCCGCGGUGAACCACGAGUGAAACUAGGUGAAAGUAGAAAGACGUACGAACUGCCCAUUGGUAGAGAAAACACUCAAAAAAACAUAAUUUUGUGCGUUAGAUCAUUACAUAACUAUGGUCAGUUGUUCCACUUACAAGGUAUACAAUGUUUUUACGGUUCCUUUCACUUACUCGUUUUCCACGUUACGGUGCGUUACUUGAAUAUCGGGGAUCAAUUACGACUCGCCGCCCAAUCUGGGCUCUUUAAUUUCCAAACGCGAGGCGCACUCUCGACUUUUUGUCUUAUUUUCCCCUCGAUCUCUCGCACGCUCGUUUUUCUUUUGGCCUUACCGCCGGGAAUUAGCAUAAAUUAGUCCGGGAGGUCUCCGGGAUGUUCAGCUAUCACUUUCCCAUGCAUCCGUAUGGAUGCGCGUCUCUGAGCGUUGCUUUUUCGAAGACGAGUUUCUUCUACGUUGUCGUAAUCUCCAAUCGGUUGGUGAAGCUUUUCGUGAAGAUGAAUCGCGAAGAUUUAUAUUGACAGGUUGUCUCGUCGACGGAGAUCGGAUCUCGUGAAACUUUCCACGACGAUAUAUAACCCCAACUACGGGUCAGACGGGCUUUUCCGCGACCGACUCGACGGUUCAUUUCAUGAGGGACCUUUGGCACCGCGACGACUUUCACGAAAACAUAAAAUGUCGCGGAAGAUGUCGUUUGGCUCGUUUGACUUCGUGCCACCGAUACGCAGCUGCGCUCAUCAAACAAAUUCCUAAUGUCCGUUGAUUAAAAAUUCCGCGCGGUAAGGAACGCGACGAUAUAUUGGAUAGGUGUACGUUUUAAUGAGCUAUACAUUAGGCCACGUGAUUAACUUAUGUGACAAUAAAAAAUAAUUAAUUCAAUUAA
Long non-coding RNA from Odontomachus brunneus, 1255 nucleotides. RefSeq lists it as uncharacterized. The record is from RefSeq and is a predicted model, not a curated record. Lineage: Eukaryota; Metazoa; Arthropoda; Insecta; Hymenoptera; Formicidae. The transcript is spliced from 3 exons.